Molecule: unclassified non-coding RNA, 6485 nt
Filed under: Leishmania donovani
Lineage: Eukaryota; Euglenozoa; Kinetoplastea; Trypanosomatida; Trypanosomatidae
Description: gene:LdHU3.34.0910(CDS-product:hypothetical_prote in_conserved)
Source: RNAcentral
GGCAUCUGCACCCAUUGAGCAUGUGCAUGUCCAUGUGUACGUGCUCCUACUACUGCUCUCAGAGCAGAAACGUUUCCCGUCUACGUGAAGUGGUGCGUCACGCAUGACGCAUUGGACUGUUUGUAGCGUGUGUGUGCGCGCGCGUGUGAGCGUGUGUACGUGUGUUUCUUCCUUCAUUUUCUUCGCCAGUUUUGCGGGGCCUUUUUGACCCCAUCGGCACUCCCCCCACUAUCACCACCACCCACCCCCUCGGCAACACCUGAGCUGAAGCAUCACUGUGCAACCUUUUUUGUUUUUUGUUUGUUUUUUCAUCUUCGUUGACCUCUCACCGUCCUUCCGACUUCCCAGCCCGCCCGCCCCCCCCCCACCAUCAGCAUCGCAUUCUACCUCGCCUUCCACUCGAUCGGCUUCUUUGGCUAGUUGGUUGGUGGUAUUUCCUCGUCGAUAGAUCACACUCUUUUUCUCUUCCUCACACGUCUCCGUCGGAACUGUGGAUCAUGAGGCGCUAUCAACAUCUUCGUGAUGUGCAUCCGAGGCCCUACAGUAAUGGCCGUGAGAGAGGGCAUGAGGUGGGCCUAGCGAGAAGGUGCCAGCGCGAUGGAGAGCACCUGUGUAGCGGCAGCGCACGAAAUAGCUGUAGGAGUAGCGGCGGUAGCGAGGAUGAAGUAGGAAGGUGGUGUGGCGCUGCGAUGGUCGCGACCGCCCCUACACCCCGUCGCACCUUGAACACCUCGAAGAGAGCUGAAAAUCCUCGUGGGGCCACCGGUACUGUUCUCUCACCCCAUGUGAGUUUCUCCCCGAUCUCCUUCCAUUCUGCGCAGGCCUCCGCGAUUACAUAUGGAGCGGCAGAGACGACCAAGGCAACUGUGUCGUCUGCCUCGGCGCCUAAAGCCUUCUACGACGGGCCCUCCUUGCGCGACAGCAUCCCGGCGCUGUUGGCGCGGCUUGCCAACCCGGUAACGCUGUCGCCGUCGCGUGCCCCCGAGAGCACGCGCUUGUUCGAGCCGGCAGCGAAAGAAGACACGUUGCAGCGAGACGCCUCAUCCCUGUCGGCGCACCCGAUAGUUACACCACGGUGGAGUGGCUCCAAGCAUUCCGGCGUGUCGGGUGGUGCCGUUUCCACUACCGGGCAAAGGAAAGCGAUGAAUGCCGAGGCAUCAAAUCGCUCCUCGGGGUCGUCGUCGGAUGAAUUCCCACAGGGCACCACACACCCGGAGCGGGCUCAAGGGGGUCGCUACGAAGUGCGACAACCGAACGCGAAGGGAAAGAUGAAUCGGGGCAUGAUUGCCCGCGCCGAGGUACAGAGCGCUUACCCAGAUGCGCUGCCGUCAGCAGCAACCGUGUUUUCGGAAAGCACGCAGCAGCGUCGCGUGGUAAUGCCCCCGACGAGGUACGUAGUAGUGCAGCGGCCCGCCGCCGCCCACAUCUUACCGCAUGCAUCAGAGGCUUCAACACGGAUGGAUGCGACCACUGUAGCUCCCGAAUCAGCAGCUCGGCAUUCGGUUGAGUUGACGUCACGCUGUUGCUCUGCUACCUCGUCCCACGGCAACGCAGAGGAGACUUGUGAUGUGUGCAGCGCCAGUGUAGCCAGUAGCAACAUCAGUUUAAGUCGCCCUGCGAGUCGACGACCGCGCGCCUCGCCUCUCCGAAGGAGGCCAAGCCGCUCCGGUAGUGCCGAAGCUGUCGCUGGGCGGAAACGUGCGAUCGGACCCAUAGCCGCUCCAGUCGCCGCCACACGCGAGUCCCUUCUUGAAGCCAGCAAGGAGGCCCCGAGCGCUGUGUCUGAGCAGCCACCGCCGCCGCGAAUCAUGCCAUCGCCCUCGAUGAACUCGACAAGCGACGUCACCCAGCACCGCGCAUCACCGUCCCGAAUGCAGGGCCUCUUCGACUUCGUCCUAAGCAGCAGCAGUAACAGCGGCGCCGGAGUCGAGUACAACUCACUUAAUACUUCCUGUGAGUGGGCAAAGACGUCUCCCGGGUGCGCGGAAGGAGUGUCCGCCCGCGCUGCAGGCCUUCCCCCGCGCGAGCAGAAGCGCUCGCACACUAUCGCGUCACCGUUUUCGCUGCUGAAGCCGAUGGAAGGUGUUUUCGCACCGUCGCAUGGCGCCUUGUACCGGGAUGAGAGCGUCGCGCCUGUGGACCCUUUCGCAGCCGCCGUUCAAAAGGCAGGGGACCCGUUGGUGUUGCGGCACACCAUCGACUACCUCCUCUCGAAGGCUCGCCGCCUGGAGAGGGAGAAUCAGCGCUUGUGGUGGCAGGCGCACAGCUGGGAUCCACAUAGGGCCGUUGAACCUCACGAGGCUCGUCCUGUCGCUGUGCCUCUGGCCCACCGGCGUUUGCGCAAGUCCUCCUCGCCGGCAGAAGUGGUGACUCGUACCCCGUACGCCAUAACUUCCCAAGCAGUAGCCUUCACUCAGACCCAGCACCCACCUGCGUCUAAGCCGCGCGUGUUCGUGAAGCGGCAGCCGCGCCUUUCGCAAGCAACUGGUCGCUCUGCAUCCUGCACCUCGACGUCCUUCCUCUCUCGAGAAAGCCCCCGACACAGCAGCAGUGGCGAAGGAGCUGACGCAGAAGAACAUGUGAGGGCAAAUCCAGGCGCUCACCUGUGCACCGCGGCAGCAGACACACCAGCCCCACCGAGCACCGAGUCAACUGAAACAACGGCAACAUCGGCCGUGUCGCGCACCGAAGCGGGAGUUCAGUGCCGCCCAGCCGCGCGAGAUGCGGCAACAGACGCAAGAGAACAUCGAUCGCCAGUGCACUUCGGGCUAGCCAGCAUGGCAGAGACGGCCGGUGCCUCGACGGAAUCGCAGCAGCGUGUGUCCUCCUCGUCACAUGCAGACGCAAGCGCGCAGACAGAGCUCGUAGCACCGUUAACGUCGGCACUUCUCCGGACGCCGGAAGCGCGCCAUCAAGCGCUGCAUCACAGGUUACAAGGAACGGCCAGUGGGGACGGCAAGGGCGACGCUGCGGCCACCCCGAUAGCAUCGACCGUGCGCAGCCGUCACAGCAUCUACAGCGAGCGUUCGCUGGGAGUGAUGGCAACAGACGCCACGUCGCUGCCACCAUUCCCGGUGCAGAAGCAGCAGGGUCGAAGCCUCAGCAGCUGUAGCAGUCAAGCACACGUGAGAGGAACAAGUCAGGCAAGCGGAUCUUCCGCGCCACAUGGUCAUUAUCCGACCUACAGUAAACAGGUCCAGACAGCGAGCAUCCAAUUGCCCUCUUUAGGCGAGGUCGAGGAUGCGGGAGGAGGGGGCGGUGGCGGCGAUACCUUGAUGGUCUCGACAAUGGAUGGCACUACGUCGGCGCUGUCCUCGGAGAGGACAGCGGUGAUUGAGCUGCACACGUCGCCCUCCUACACACGGAACACCGUGCGCCGUCUGCGAGAGUACUGCAACUCUCUGGAGGCGGCCCGCCAGCAGCUGCGCCGGCGCCUAUCAAGAAGUGUGCCUAACAGCCACGAUGUCUCGGCCGUAGCACUGUCGCGCGCGCGAUCGCCGUCAAGCCUUUCGCACUCGCACGGCCAGGUUCCGCUGUCCCCGCUAACUACCGCGGCCCCCACCAUCAGCCGUCCCUUCUUCACCUCCGAGUACGUCGACCCGGAGGUCGACGCCACCUUGCAGGACGUUGGAGAGACGACUGCCCUGGAGACUAUGAUCGUGUUGCAUGAGGAUGGCGCCGGCACCAUCACAAAGCGCGUGAUCGACGGCUCCCAGUCGUGCGUCUCGAGCUUCGCGGUGCGCUCCCCUUCGCCCCCAUCACAGCGCCCGGCAGCCACAAUGACCUCCUCGCUGGCCAGCCAGUCUCCAACCCCGGUCGUGGAGAAUGCCAUAUCGUGGGUUCGCCGGUACUCGCCACGGGCCCCGUGUCGCAUGAAGCCUCAGCAGCUCCUUUCGCACUACCUGCGGGGCACUCAUGAUACUGCGGUCAUCGCAGAGGAGCCGCGCGCGCGCCGGCUGAGCUCCUCUCUGCGUUCCGACGGCAGCAGCUCAUGCUGUGUGCCGGUGGUGCAUUUGGGCAAGCCCAUGCGAUCCGCCUCCGCCAGUUCACGGAACGCCUCCGACGUCAACAUCCACUUCCCGGGCGCCGUGCCGCUCGCCCCGUCUCUCCCCAAGUCGCCACCGAAGCAAGCUCCGUCCACCGGACGCUUUGUCGUGCCGCCCACCACGCCGCUCGAGGAGGGUGAUGCGGAGCAGCUACCACCACAGUCGCUGCCACCGCGGCCGCACAAUCACCAGACUCAUGCAGGUGCAUCGGUGUCGGUCUCCCUAGCAGGGUGCACUGCACCUGGGCAGUUUGCCGGGCUGCAGAUUGGCGUCACCAGCAGCACAACGAGAACGAGCAGCAGGGUCAACUCUCAGCGUUUUGCAGUGAAGGGAGUCCGCGAGUCUGUGUCGCCGAAUGAGCACAGCACGCGUAUCCGAAGCAAGAGUGGCCGCGGCAGUGUCGGCUCUGAGGCACUUGUAUCAGGAAAGCAGACCACUUCUUCGGCUUCGGCCGCCGCAGCCUCAGCACCUCUGUGGGAUCCCACGCGCCACUCAUUGCAAAGCCCAAGCCCGGUCAUGCUCUCGACUUCUACUGAAACAUCCGUAGCUGCUGAACUGGUGGUAAGCGACCGCCUCGGCACUCCCGUUACUACGUCCGGCAGCGAGGCGGGAGUGCGUGGCGCAUCGAAUGACAGCGUGCACGGGUCACGGCCCAUAGGCACAUCACUCAUCACCGCUGUAGCCAGCGCGAGCCUGUCUGCUCUGAGUGCACCAGCGCCGGACAGCGAGGAGCCCCUGCCACCGGCUGAGACCGCAGUGCAGCCGCACAUCCGCAGCCCCCUGUGCCGCCUACACCUCGAAGCGCAAGCCGUCCGCUGCGGUCGCGGCGGCAGCGGCGACCGACGCGAUCUUUACACAGACAGCCUCCACGUCAGCGGGUCUGCCUCGCCGGCGCCGAGCACACCGCGAGGCUCUGAGGAAAACAGCGGUGGCCGAUGCAAGCGGAGCGAGACUACAGCAUUCCUGGACGAGGAGAAACGAGAAGCAUCAGCAGUGUCGUCUGCAGGGGCACGUCGCGUGUCGGUGCAACUACCAGUGCUUGAGAACGACGUGGUGUCAGCGGAUGGGGCCGACAGCUUCCAUUCCACAGAUGCUGCAGUGUCGCCGCGUAGCAGCGCCGAGAGGGUCGUUAACCUCCUUUUGCCAGCCCAGCUGGAGGGGUCGCUACUACCGCAGCCGCAACGCCCCACCUCCCAACGGCUUAUCUCACCCUCUCCUCCUCGAGGGGUAGACGCGGACGACAAUGCGCAGAAUCCUCGUGAUGGCAAUACAGACUUGAAGGCUAUCUCUGCGGAAUCAAUACCGAAGGAUGCGGGCAUCGACUCUACGUCGCCGCGACGCCACCUUGUGUUGCCGCAGCACCGCCCACCGGUCGCCCCGCCUCGCGUCGUCGUCAUCCCAAAGAACGACGAGUCUCCUUCUCCCGCUCGCAGCAGCCUGUCACGCAGCCUGCACUCCCUUCCCUCAACCCUCUCAGACAGGCAUUGCGAUGAUGCUUCUGAUGAUGGAGAUGACGAAGAUGGGGCACUUUGGUACUCAGAACGGUUUUGAGUGGAGAGGCGGUAGAAGGAGGAGGGGGGGCUGCGGGCCGCCGUGUGCUUCCCCUACGGUCAGUCAAGAUACAAACAGAGAAGUGGAGAUGAGGAUGCCGCGAGGGAUGUAGAACGGCGGUUUUCAAUUUUGCCAACCCCUGUCUUUCCGGCAGCCGCACUGUGCAUGUGUGUGUGUGUGUGUGUGUGUAUGUACUCAGCCUUUCUCCGGGCUAUUCACCAACGUGCAGCUGUCAGUUGCUCUGUACUCUUUCGCCUUGCCUAACUGCUUUAGAGAGUCGAGGACGAAUUCGGCAGCUGGGCUUUCUACACAACUCAGACACACACACGCACGUCAGCACGCUCCUACUGGUCUCUCUGUAUCACCAGCUCUGAGGUAGGGAUGAUGAAGCCUCCAGUCAGAAAUGCGCAGAGAGGCGUGGGGCCCAGUUUUGCGCCCACUCAAGCGCUGAGCAUGUGCAUACCUGCGUUCAACGGCGCACAUGAGCGCAUUGUGGACGCGAAGCAAAAAAAUAGAUGAGCCGCUGUACAUGGCGCGCCACUUCCUCGUGCGAGCUCGUUGGCCGCACGAGAGGGGUCUCAGAAGGCUCAGCACCCAAUACGCUGAUGCUGCACGCAUAGCGGCGCAUUUCCCCAUGAGCUCCUCCGUGCGCACGACCAGCCCGCUCAGCACGAGCCGCUCUCAAUUUCCUUUGCAGCCAAGAUCUAUUCCCCCUCUCCCUGAUGCAGCUUAGUCGGUAUCACCACCGCCAGCAAAGGCCACUUCGUCAGUUUUUUUCGUAGAGUAGCCAAUGUGUGGACCGGUGUGACGAAUCAUAGGUGUGAUGUGUAUCACGUGGUGUACACCUGCGCAACUCCCAUCUCUCGCUCUCUCUUGCUUGCCCCACAG